AACGCGAAGAACCUUACCUACCCUUGACAUCUAAAGAAGACUGUAGAGAUAUGGUUGUGCCGAAAGGAACUUUAAGACAGGUGCUGCAUGGCUGUCGUCAGCUCGUGUUGUGAGAUGUUGGGUUAAGUCCCGUAACGAGCGCAACCCUUAUGCUUAGUUGCCAACACGUAAUGGUGGGGACUCUAAGGAGACUGCCGGUGAUGAACCGGAGGAAGGCGGGGACGACGUCAAGUCAUCAUGGCCUUUAUGGGUAGGGCUACACACGUGCUACAAUGGACAGUACAGAGGGCAGCGCAAGCGCGAGCUGUAGCUAAUCCCGCAAAGCUGUUCGUAGUCCGGAUCGGAGUCUGCAACUCGACUCCGUGAAGUCGGAAUCGCUAGUAAUCGCGAAUCAGAAUGUCGCGGUGAAUACGUUCCCGGGCCUUGUACACACCGUAGUAC
This 441-nucleotide ribosomal RNA is filed under the name uncultured bacterium. RNAcentral's name for it is "bacterial SSU rRNA". It matches the Rfam family "Bacterial small subunit ribosomal RNA", at positions 958 to 1398 of the family's 1533-position model. The record is from RNAcentral.